UCCAGACUCCUACGGGAGGCAGCAGUGAGGAAUAUUGGUCAAUGGGCGCGAGCCUGAACCAGCCAAGUCGCGUGAGGGAGGACAGCCCUACGGGUUGUAAACCUCUUUUGCCGGGGAGCAACGGGCGUCACGUGUGGCGCCACUGAGAGUACCCGGAGAAAAAGCAUCGGCUAACUCCGUGCCAGCAGCCGCGGUAAUACGGAGGAUGCGAGCGUUAUCCGGAUUUAUUGGGUUUAAAGGGUGCGUAGGCGGCGCGUAAAGGCAGGGGUAAAUGGGGGGGCCCCACCCCCUCCCCGCCAUUGAAACUGGCGCCCUUGAGUGGAAGAGAAGUAUGCGGAAUGCGUGGUGUAGCGGUGAAAUGCAUAGAUAUCACGCAGAACCCCGAUUGCGAAGGCAGCAUGCCGGCUUCCGACCGACGCUGAAGCACGAAAGCGUGGGGAUCGAACAGGAUUAGAUACCCUUGUAU
This 466-nucleotide ribosomal RNA is filed under the name uncultured bacterium. Its description in RNAcentral is "bacterial SSU rRNA". It matches the Rfam family "Bacterial small subunit ribosomal RNA", at positions 330 to 793 of the family's 1533-position model. The record is from RNAcentral.